AUACCUUUUGUGUCUGGCACCGCACUAAGCACUUGCCACGUGCUUUCCAACAUAGCUCCGUAACAGGAAUCACUCUCGCACUCAGCAAUAUUACUUGACAUUUAAUAUGCAACAGAAAUUCAUUGUCUCAUGGUUCUGGAGGGCAGAAGUCUGAAAUAAUGAUAUGGACAAGGGCCAUGCUCUCUCUGAACCCUGUAGGGGGAUGCUUCUUUGCCUCUUCCUAGCGCUAGUGGGUUGCUGUCAUCUCUGGCAUUCCCUGGCUUGCAGCUGCAUCACUCCAGUUUCUGCCUUUAUCAUCACAUGUGUGCUCCCUGCGUGGCGCUGCCUUCUUCUGAGAACACCAGUCAUAGUGGAGUAGGUUCCCACCCUCCUCUACUAUGACCUCAUCUCAAUUAAUUACAUCUGCAACAACACUGUUUUCACAUAUGGUCACUGUCUGAGGUACUGGAGAUUAGGACUUCAAUAUACCUUUCUGCAGGGCUGGGUGGUGGGUCAAUAGUGCUCAACACAUAACACUGUCCUUGUGGAACUUACACUAUAAAAGUCCCCUUUUACAGAUGAAUACAUUGAGGCACAGAGAGCCCAAGUGAUUUGCUCAGGAUCUACUGGCAGUAAACUGCAAAUCCAGGUCUGACUCCAGAGCCCAUUUUCUGUCUACUAGACUACCUUGUCUAGCCUACACAGGUUCUCCUCAGCAGGUGGUCAUUUGUAGAAAAGGAGCUUUACUCAUCAUUACUGGUCAUUAGAGAAAUGCAAAUCAAAACCACAAUGAAAUACCAUCUCACGCCAGUUAGAAUGGCGAUCAUUAAAAAGUCAGGAAACAACAGAUGCUGGAGAGGAUGUGGAGAAAGAGGAAGGCUUUUACACUGUUGGUGGAAGCGUAAAUUAGUUCAACGAUUGUGGAAGACAGAAUGGUGAUUCCUCAAGGAUCUAGAACCAGAAAUACCAUUUGACCCAACAAUUCCAUUACUGGAUAUAUACCCAAAGGAUUAUAAAUCAUUCUACUAUAAAGACACAUGCAUACAUAUGUUUAUUGCAGCACGGUUCACAAUAGCAAAGACUUGGAGCCAACCCAAAUGCUCAUCAAUGAUAGACUGGAUAAAGAUAAUGUGGCACAUAUACACCAUGGAAUACUAUGCAGCCAUGAAAAAGGAUGAGUUCAUGUCCUUCUCAGGGACAUGGAUGAAGCUGGAAAUCGUCUUUCUCAGCAAACUAACACAGGAACAGAAAACCAAACACCCAUAUUCUCACUCAUAAGUGGGGGUUGAACAAUGAGAACACAUGGACACAGGGAGGGGAAAAACAUACACUGCAGCCUGUUGGCGGAUGGGGGGCUAGGGGAGGGAUAGCAUUAGGAGAAAUACCUAAUGUAGAUGACAUGUUGAUAAGUGCAGUAAACCACCAUGGCACAUGCAUACCUAUGUAACAAACCUGCACGUUCUACACAUGUACCCCAGAACUUAAAGUAAGAAAAGAAAAGAAAAGAAAAGAAAAGAAAAGAAAAGAAAAGAAAAGAAAAGGAGCCUUAGCAUAAAUGAUCCAUUUAGUCCUUGCAACACUUUUACAAGGUGUGUGUAUGCGAGGAGGGGAUGAUGAACAAGAAAGCACACCACAAGCAGGAUGGAUGACUGCAUUCAAGUGUCAUCUAUUAUUCUAUAACAGAAAUAUAAUUAUUCUAUAAGGAUAGUAACAACCCAUCCCAUGUGCAGAACACUCUAUGAUUCAGAAAAUCCUUUUACACCCAUUAUCUCAUUGCAUCCCCACGACAGUCCUGUGGUGGGGGAAGUAGAGCUAAUUAUAUUAUCUUCCAUUUGUAGCAGCCACUCUUGGUUGCAUAGCAAUACCUACUGCCCUCCUAACAGAAUCCUGACUUUGCUCAGCUAGCCACACUGUGGUUAUGUGUCUCAGUUGGAAGAUCCUGACUGGCAAGUUACAAAAGUCCCCUUCCUCAUGAGGGAAUCUGGACCACCGGCCAAUCUGAUAUGAGGAGAGGUCUGGGGGUUCCCUGGACGGGGAAUCAUCCGGACACAAUGCCUGGGACUGUAGCAGUGGAAGCCAAGAAGCUGAAUCUGAGCCUUGAUGAACAUGCCUGGAAUUGCCCUAUCUCUGGACUUCUUGCUAAAUGAGAUAAUAAAUGUUGAAGCUAACGAUAAUCAUUGAAGCCGGUUUGAGUUGCGGUUUUGCAUAAGGCAUCUUAAGAUCUCCUACCUCACUGUAGACAGAGUCUUCAUAAAAACCCACUCCCACUGCUUUCGUUUCCACCCUUAUUGUU
RNAcentral lists this long non-coding RNA (2272 nucleotides) under Homo sapiens (human). Its description in RNAcentral is "HSALNT0364018". The record is from RNAcentral. Lineage: Eukaryota; Metazoa; Chordata; Mammalia; Primates; Hominidae.